GACGAACGCUGGCGGCGUGCCUAAUACAUGCAAGUGGGACGCAAGGGAACACACUGUGCUUGCACACCGUGUUUUCUUGAGUCGCGAACGGGUGAGUAACGCGUAGGUAACCUGCCUAUUAGCGGGGGAUAACUAUUGGAAACGAUAGCUAAUACCGCAUAAUAUUAAUUAUUGCAUGAUAAUUGAUUGAAAGAUGCAAGCGCAUCACUAGUAGAUGGACCUGCGUUGUAUUAGCUAGUUGGUAAGGUAAGAGCUUACCAAGGCGACGAUACAUAGCCGACCUGAGAGGGUGAUCGGCCACACUGGGACUGAGACACGGCCCAGACUCCUACGGGAGGCAGCAGUAGGGAAUCUUCGGCAAUGGACGAAAGUCUGACCGAGCAACGCCGCGUGAGUGAAGAAGGUUUUCGGAUCGUAAAGCUCUGUUGUAAGUCAAGAACGAGUGUGAGAGUGGAAAGUUCACACA
This 466-nucleotide ribosomal RNA is filed under the name Streptococcus mutans. RNAcentral's name for it is "bacterial SSU rRNA". It matches the Rfam family "Bacterial small subunit ribosomal RNA", at positions 28 to 470 of the family's 1533-position model. Lineage: Bacteria; Bacillati; Bacillota; Bacilli; Lactobacillales; Streptococcaceae. The record is from RNAcentral.